GACGAACGCUGGCGGCAUGCCUUACACAUGCAAGUCGAACGGCAGCAUAGAGAGCUUGCUCUCUGAUGGCGAGUGGCGAACGGGUGAGUAAAGCAUCGGAACGUACCGUGUAGUGGGGGAUAACGUAGCGAAAGUUACGCUAAUACCGCAUACGCACUGAGGUGGAAAGCAGGGGAUCGUAAGACCUUGCGCUAUACGAGCGGCCGAUGUCAGAUUAGCUAGUUGGUAGGGUAAAGGCCUACCAAGGCGACGAUCUGUAGCGGGUCUGAGAGGAUGAUCCGCCACACUGGGACUGGGACACGGCCCAGACUCCUACGGGAGGCAGCAGUGGGGAAUUUUGGACAAUGGGGGCAACCCUGAUCCAGCCAUGCCGCGUGGGUGAAGAAGGCCUUCGGGUUGUAAAGCUCUUUCGGCCGGGAAGAAAUCGCACAGGCUAAUACCCUGUGUGGAUGACGGUACCGGCAUAAGAAGCACCGGCUAACUACGUGCCAGCAGCCGCGGUAA
This 504-nucleotide ribosomal RNA is filed under the name uncultured bacterium. Its description in RNAcentral is "partial 16S ribosomal RNA". It matches the Rfam family "Bacterial small subunit ribosomal RNA", at positions 28 to 523 of the family's 1533-position model. The record is from RNAcentral.